AUACGGAGGGGGCUAGCGUUGUUCGGAAUUAUUGGGCGUAAAGAGCACGUAGGUGGAUUUGUUAGUCAGAUGUGAAAGCCUUUUGUUCAACGGAAGAAUUGCAUCUGAAACUACAAACCUUGAGUAUAGGAGGGGAGAGUGGAACUUCUGGUGGAGCGGUGAAAUGCGUAGAUAUCAGAAGGAACGCCGGCGGCGAAAGCGACUCUCUGGCCUAUAACUGACACUGAGUGUGCGAAAGCUAGGGGAGCAAACGGGAUUAGAUACCCGAGUAGUCC
RNAcentral lists this ribosomal RNA (275 nucleotides) under uncultured bacterium. Its description in RNAcentral is "partial 16S ribosomal RNA". It matches the Rfam family "Bacterial small subunit ribosomal RNA", at positions 523 to 796 of the family's 1533-position model. The record is from RNAcentral.